AGGAUUCUACCUCGCGAAGAGACUCCUGGAUGGUCUAAAGGCCGGAAAGCAAAGAAAUUAGGGACAAGACGCAACGGAGAAGAAAUCCCAAAUCUCCAUGGCAUCCCACGCGCCGCCGCCGCGGUCGUUGUCGACCGGAUCCGUCACCGUGACGGUCGAACCCUCCCCCUCUUCCUCCUCUUCCUCCCCUCCGGCGGCCGCGUCGGCGCUGGCGCCGCCGUCCCAUACGGUGGUGCUUCGGCUGAAGCGGCGGGCGAAGAAGAAGGUGACGUGGAAGGAAGGGACGGUGGACAACGAGUUCCUCGGCCGCAAGAGCUCCAAGAAGUGCUGCGUCUUCCUCAAGGAGGUCCCCUUCGACGAGGACUGCAGCGACGAUGAGGGCCCCAACGGCAGGGGCGGCGGGCGCCGCUGCCUGCAGGGAGAGGCCGGCGAGGGCACCGGCAGCGGCGGUGGAGGAUGCUCUUCCUACUCCCACGACCACAACCAUCACCACCACUGAUCUCCAUGCGGGGAUGCGUUCGAAUUGGAGCUUCUUGAUCUCUUUAGGCAGCUUGGAUGGGCCUCCUCAUGGAUACCUGAAGUUAUUGGUUAUCCUACCAUUGGAAACUUGACUUAUUUGUGUCAAACUUUAGGUUACCUUCAGUGAUGGUCAAGCAAGGCAGAGUCAUGUAUUCAGGUGAAGCCGGAGAAAUGCGGGCAAUAUAUACUUGCAGGUCGUUGUAUCAGCUGAUAAUAAAUUCUGGAUCUCGUUCCUGUAAGGUUCAUCGUUUUAAUUCCUGUAAGGUGCGACGCAAGAUCAAAUCCUUUCUGUGGUUCCUUAUCUGGUAUUAAUUCAAAGAGGAGACAUUUGUGAGGUGAUGAGUAAUGAAAGGGUUGUCGUUUGAGAGGGACCAUAGACCAUAUCUUUUUUAAUGAGGUUUUUCCACGUGUUGAAUCAAUUUUAAACCAGUCUACUUGCCCAGUUUGUAUGGAUUGUGGGUGCUUUAAGAUGCGUGCAGCUUCUGUACCCUCAAUUCCACUUGCCCAGUUUGUUUGGAUUGUGAUCGCUUAGUUGUGGUGUGGUAUGUUCUCCGGUCUUAAUGGUUCAUUGUUGCAGCACCUGGGUGACAGGGAGCAAUAUGAAACCAGAUUUGCCGCUUCAAGU
Molecule: RNA transcript, 1144 nt
Organism: Phragmites australis (common reed)
Lineage: Eukaryota; Viridiplantae; Streptophyta; Magnoliopsida; Poales; Poaceae
Gene name: protein phosphatase 1 regulatory subunit INH3-like
Exons: 3
Source: RefSeq, a predicted model, not a curated record